UACGGGGGGAGCAAGCGUUGUUCGGAUUUACUGGGCGUAAAGGGCGCGUAGGCGGCCACUGCAAGUCGGUUGUGAAAUCUCCGGGCUUAACCCGGAAAGGUCAACCGAUACUGCAGGGCUAGAGUGCGGAAGGGGCAACUGGAAUUCUCGGUGUAGCGGUGAAAUGCGUAGAUAUCGAGAGGAACACCUGCGGCGAAGGCGGGUUGCUGGGCCGACACUGACGCUGAUGCGCGAAAGCUAGGGGAGCAAACAGG
This 254-nucleotide ribosomal RNA is filed under the name uncultured bacterium. Its description in RNAcentral is "partial 16S ribosomal RNA". It matches the Rfam family "Bacterial small subunit ribosomal RNA", at positions 524 to 776 of the family's 1533-position model. The record is from RNAcentral.